CCUUUUUAUAUGUUACUAGUUAAUUUUGAUAGUACUUCCUUGAUACUUUUUACCUAUUUCAUAUUGGUCUGUAAUUUUCCUUUCUGGAAAUGUCUUUGUCUAGCUGUGGUGUCAGGGAACACUGGCUUCAUACAGUGCGUUGGGAAAGGUUCUCUACUCGUCUGAUUUUAUUGAUUGUUAUUAAUGCUGAAAGGCUUUGAAUAACACACCAGUGAAGUCAUCUUGACCUGGACAGAAAUUGAAUCCUUACAAGAAUUCUAGGAGCUUGGAAGGGGAUCCUUUGCCAGGUCUUCGUGUAGUCUCCACACUGCCUUCCACAAUGGUUGAACUAAUUUAGACGUCCACCAACGGUGUACUCCAUCAGGAAUUGUUUGGGACCAUGCAUUCUGUUGCCCACUGCCCACCCGAAAGCCACCAAGGUAGCAGGUAAGCAGAGUACAACAAACGUUUCUUACAAAUGGGUUUAGGCCAGACCCUACUUACAGAGACCUGGAUAUGAAUCUGUUACACAACAGGUUUUUUACAGUUGGAUGCUAGUGAGUGGAGAAAGCCGAUGACAAAGUGCUGAGCAGCGAGUCCCCAGACACAUUCUAACUGCAUGGAAGAUGUGAUUUCCCACAAUACCUUAAACCCACAGUUCCUUAGAGGCUGGCCUGGACACAAUUCUAAAAGAGAUGCCAUUCAAAAGAAACCAAAUUCUAGACCAGAUCAUGAGGCAAAUAUCCAACACUUGGACUCCACACUGUAACCUGAUUAGAAGUUGGAGUUCAGUGGAAGAAUGUCUUGGAUAUUUGAGAACAUGACUUUAUCUGUAUUUAAUUUAGCCUUGCUGGAAUUUAAAACUGUAGGGGAAAAUUCAGUCAACCUCCUAAAUUCUGUGAGUUUUUGUUUUUGUAUGUGAGUUUCUGCAUACACAUAAUGAAACUCCCAUCAUUUAGGAGGUUGACUGAAUUUUGGGUAUACAGAAAUUCAUACUUUAUGUGUUUCUUCUUCUGUCAGUGUAUUCCUGAGGGAACACCAAAACCAGUCCCCAAACCCAAGUACCCAAAUUAGGAUUGACCAGAGUAGCAAGGGGACAGAUUAAAACAUUUUAUAAAGACCAUUAUGCAUCUACGUCUGCAGUGAUUAAUUAUAAAAUGAUUUCUAUGAUCUCCAGCCAUAUGGUUAAAAUGGCAAAUGGGAAUGAAGAAAAAAGAGUUACAUAAAUAUUAUAGCUGAAAAAAUGAAGUUUAUAAUAAAA
This is a long non-coding RNA of Cercocebus atys (sooty mangabey), 1240 nucleotides long. RefSeq lists it as uncharacterized. Lineage: Eukaryota; Metazoa; Chordata; Mammalia; Primates; Cercopithecidae. The transcript is spliced from 3 exons. The record is from RefSeq and is a predicted model, not a curated record.